Molecule: ribosomal RNA, 449 nt
Filed under: uncultured bacterium
Lineage: Bacteria
Description: partial 16S ribosomal RNA
Rfam family: Bacterial small subunit ribosomal RNA
Source: RNAcentral
AGCGAACGCUGGCGGCAGGCCUAACACAUGCAAGUCGAACGGACCCUUCGGGGUUAGUGGCGGACGGGUGAGUAACACGUGGGAACGUGCCUUUAGGUUCGGAAUAGCUCCUGGAAACGGGUGGUAAUGCCGGAUGUGCCCUUCGGGGGAAAGAUUUAUCGCCUUUAGAGCGGCCCGCGUCUGAUUAGCUAGUUGGUGAGGUAAUGGCUCACCAAGGCGACGAUCAGUAGCUGGUCUGAGAGGAUGACCAGCCACAUUGGGACUGAGACACGGCCCAAACGCCUACGGGAUGCAGCCGUGGGGAAUCUUGCGCAAUGGGCGAAAGCCUGACGCAGCCAUGCCGCGUGGAUGAUGAAGGUCUUAGGAUUGUAAAAUCCUUUCACCGGUGAAGAUAAUGACUGUAGCCGGAGAAGAAGCCCCGGCUAACUUCGUGCCAGCCGCCGCGGUAA